GUCCAGCCUUCAGCCCGGUUCGGUUUCUAGGUUGGACCCAGGGCAACUCCAGCCGUUUCCAGACCCGGUUUCGGAAAAGAAAUGAUCAAAUAAAGCCUCGAAAGCUCCUGAGGUAAAAGCCGCAGAGGAUCUGAGCGGGACGGCCCAGCCCCUCCGGAGGCAGCGAGCGCGUGGAGGCGGUGGCUCCGGCUCAGGAAAGAGAGAAGCUAACAAGAAAAGCCACUCUUCUUGUUUCCAUCUCCACAGUGGAAGAAAUGCCCUCUUUUUUAGUUAAGAAAACAGAGAGUCAAAAGAAGAUGGGAGACCUCUGCACACUCAAUCAGGAAAUUCCUGGAAUACCAGACUGUUUCCAUCAAUGUGGGUCAGCACAUCUGUAAUAACUCACAUCUCCAGGAUGUUUACUGACAUCAUUAUAGCCUCAUCACUCAGCCUCAUGAAUGGAGCUCAAAGAUGCUACAAGCACUGCCUGAGUUAGUGGCUACAGGAUCAGCCAGCACCCUGGUAUGUUCCCUAAAUGAUGUAAACAGCAGUUAUCUGGCCAAACCAAGGUGAUUUUGUACUCAUUACUGUCACCAUAAUUGCCGCUGGAGUGAGAAGCCAGUGGAAAUAGCCUGAG
Molecule: long non-coding RNA, 616 nt
Filed under: Sus scrofa (pig)
Lineage: Eukaryota; Metazoa; Chordata; Mammalia; Artiodactyla; Suidae
Description: lncRNA (ENSSSCG00060059797.1)
Source: RNAcentral